UUACAUACCUGGACGGGGUCUAUGUGCGAUCAAGAAGACUCAUGGCCUAGAUUAGCAGCCUCCAUUGCACUUGGGUGGACAGCUAGCCUACCAUCUCCCCGAGCGGGAGAAUGGACGUCGUAAUUUGUGUUAGGGGGUACGCGUCCGCACGCCCCAU
Molecule: non-coding RNA, 157 nt
Organism: Brachypodium distachyon (stiff brome)
Lineage: Eukaryota; Viridiplantae; Streptophyta; Magnoliopsida; Poales; Poaceae
Source: Rfam